RNAcentral lists this ribosomal RNA (1468 nucleotides) under Amycolatopsis sp. ATCC 39116. Its description in RNAcentral is "bacterial LSU rRNA". It matches the Rfam family "Bacterial large subunit ribosomal RNA", at positions 1479 to 2925 of the family's 2925-position model. The record is from RNAcentral. Lineage: Bacteria; Bacillati; Actinomycetota; Actinomycetes; Pseudonocardiales; Pseudonocardiaceae.
AAGGUAGCUCCGCCAGUGAGUGGUUGUACUGGUGUAAGCGUGUAGCCCGGGACAUAGGCAAAUCCGUGUCCCAAUAGGGUGAGACGUGAUGCGUAGCCGUUGAGGCGAAGUAGGGUGAUCCUCUGCUGCCGAGAAAAGCCUCUAGCGAGAACAUGUGCGGCCCGUACCCCAAACCGACACAGGUGGUCAGGUAGAGAAUACUAAGGCGGUCGGGUGAACUGUGGUUAAGGAACUCGGCAAAAUGCCCCCGUAACUUCGGGAGAAGGGGGGCCAAAGCACUUGAAGCCCUUCGCGGGCUAGGGUGAGUUGGCCGCAGAGACCAGCGGAAAGCGACUGUUUACUAAAAACACAGGUCCAUGCGAAGUCGUAAGACGAGGUAUAUGGACUGACGCCUGCCCGGUGCUGGAACGUUAAGAGGACCGGUUAGCUCCCUUGUGGGGCGAAGCUGAGAAUUUAAGCGCCAGUAAACGGCGGUGGUAACUAUAACCAUCCUAAGGUAGCGAAAUUCCUUGUCGGGUAAGUUCCGACCUGCACGAAUGGCGUAACGACUUUCCGGCUGUCUCAACCACAGGCCCGGUGAAAUUGCACUACGAGUAAAGAUGCUCGUUACGCGCGGCAGGACGGAAAGACCCCGGGACCUUUACUAUAGCUUGGUAUUGGUUUUCGGUUCGGCUUGUGUAGGAUAGGUGGGAGACUGUGAAGCGGGGACGCUAGUUCUCGUGGAGUCGUUGUUGAAAUACCACUCUGGUCGGAUUGGGAAUCUAACCUAGGGCCCUGAUCGGGUUCAGGGACAGUGCCUGGUGGGUAGUUUAACUGGGGCGGUUGCCUCCUAAAAGGUAACGGAGGCGCCCAAAGGUUCCCUCAGCCUGGUUGGCAAUCAGGUGUUGAGUGUAAGUGCACAAGGGAGCUUGACUGUGAGACUGACGGGUCGAGCAGGUGCGAAAGCAGGGACUAGUGAUCCGGCAUCUCCUGGUGGAAGGGAUGUCGCUCAACGGAUAAAAGGUACCCCGGGGAUAACAGGCUGAUCUUGCCCAAGAGUCCAUAUCGACGGCAUGGUUUGGCACCUCGAUGUCGGCUCGUCGCAUCCUGGGGCCGGAGUAGGUCCCAAGGGUUGGGCUGUUCGCCCAUUAAAGCGGCACGCGAGCUGGGUUUAGAACGUCGUGAGACAGUUCGGUCCCUAUCCGCCGCGCGCGUAGGAGACUUGAGGAAGGCUGUCCCUAGUACGAGAGGACCGGGACGGACGAACCUCUGGUAUGCCAGUUGUCACGCCAGUGGCAUGGCUGGUUAGCUACGUUCGGAAGGGAUAACCGCUGAAGGCAUCUAAGCGGGAAGCCUGUUCCUAGAUGAGGUCUCCCACCCCUUUGUGGGUUAAGGCCCCCAAGAGACGAUUGGGUUGAUAGGCCAGACAUGGACGCACAGUAAUGUGUUUUUGAGUGGACUGGUACUAAUAGGCCGAGGACUUGCCCAC